Molecule: long non-coding RNA, 519 nt
Organism: Gigantopelta aegis
Lineage: Eukaryota; Metazoa; Mollusca; Gastropoda; Neomphalida; Peltospiridae
Exons: 3
Source: RefSeq, a predicted model, not a curated record
UGGUAUUUAGUAUGUAUUUCAUUAAUGUUUAUUUUCAGGCUGUAACAACUACAGGUUGAACAACAUAUCACUAUAAUUAACAUUUUAUCACCUUUUUCUAGUAUUGCCCUGUACCUGUGAUGUGUGUUCGUGUAUGCUAGUCAACCACGCGUGACCACAUCAGUGCAGUCAGUGUGAGCUCUUUUGGUAGCCAUAGCUACAAUACAAACACCCAAGCUAUCUUUAAACUUUGACCUUUGUCUCUUUCUCUCCCAUUGGAUAAUUAACACUCACCUGUAUCUGCAUGCUUUCUUUGGACUGACCAGACAGGACAGAAUUAUUUAGUUUUUGGAGAAACAAGUUCCGAUCAGAGAGAAAUAGUAGAAGUUUAAUUUAAAGGUUUCCCCAGUUGUUAUGGAAUAUAUCAACACAAUGCCUACGUGUAAUUCAUAUGGGUGUGUCUUGUGUCUUAUGUUUAAUAAAAGAUGAUGCCCUAACCCGUAGCUGGUGUUGUGAACUUUGUUGAACCUAGCUUCACGC